AGUGAACGCUGGCGGUAGGCCUAACACAUGCAAGUCGAACGGCAGCACAGUAAGAGCUUGCUCUUACGGGUGGCGAGUGGCGGACGGGUGAGGAAUACAUCGGAAGCUACUUUUUCGUGGGGGAUAACGUAGGGAAACUUACGCUAAUACCGCAUACGACCUACGGGUGAAAGCAGGGGAUCUUCGGACCUUGCGCGAGUGAAUGAGCCGAUGUCGGAUUAGCUAGUGGGCGGGGUAAAGGCCCACCAAGGCGACGAUCCGUAGCUGGUCUGAGAGGAUGAUCAGCCCCACUGGAACUGAGACACGGUCCAGACUCCUACGGGAGGCAGCAGUGGGGAAUAUUGGACACUGGGCGCAAGCCUGAUCCAGCCAUACCGCGUGGGUGAAGCAGGCCUUCUGGUUGUAAAGCCCUUUUGCUGGGAAAGAAAAGCAGCAGGUUAAUACCCCGCUGUUCUGACGGUACCCAAAGAAUAAGCACCGGCUAACUUCGUG
RNAcentral lists this ribosomal RNA (492 nucleotides) under uncultured bacterium. Its description in RNAcentral is "partial 16S ribosomal RNA". It matches the Rfam family "Bacterial small subunit ribosomal RNA", at positions 29 to 507 of the family's 1533-position model. The record is from RNAcentral.